This 496-nucleotide ribosomal RNA is filed under the name uncultured bacterium. RNAcentral's name for it is "partial 16S ribosomal RNA". It matches the Rfam family "Bacterial small subunit ribosomal RNA", at positions 29 to 507 of the family's 1533-position model. The record is from RNAcentral.
AACGAACGCUGGCGGCGCGUCUUACGCAUGCAAGUCGAACGGCAAGAGAGGAGCUUGCUUCUCUCCUAGAGUGGCGGACUGGUGAGGAACACGUGGGUAAUCUACCCUUAAGAUGGGGAUAGCUGCUAGAAAUAGCAGGUAAUACCGAAUACACUCGGCAUAUCACAAGAGGUGUUGAGGAAAGGAAGCUACGGCUUCGCUUGAGGAUGGGCUUGCGUCCCAUUAGCUAGUUGGUGAGGUAAAGGCCCACCAAGGCGACGAUGGGUAUCCGGACUGAGAGGGUGAACGGACACAUUGGGACUGAGAUACGGCCCAAACUCCUACGGGAGGCAGCAGCUAAGAAUAUUCCGCAAUGGACGGAAGUCUGACGGAGCGACGCCGCGUGGAUGAAGAAGGCUGAAAAGUUGUAAAAUCCUUUUGUUGAUGAAGAAUAAGGGUGAGAGGGAAUGCUCAUCUGAUGACGGUAAUCGACGAAUAAGCCCCGGCUAAUUACGUG